RNAcentral lists this transfer RNA (69 nucleotides) under Lepomis macrochirus (bluegill). RNAcentral describes it as "tRNA-His". It matches the Rfam family "tRNA". From Rfam's summary of the family: Transfer RNA (tRNA) molecules are approximately 80 nucleotides in length. Their secondary structure includes four short double-helical elements and three loops (D, anti-codon, and T loops). Lineage: Eukaryota; Metazoa; Chordata; Actinopteri; Centrarchiformes; Centrarchidae. The record is from RNAcentral.
GUAGAUGUAGUUUAAUCAAAACACUAGAUUGUGAUUCUAGAAACAGGGGUUAAAAUCUCCUCAUCCACC